AUUGAACGCUGCGGCAGGCCUAACACAUGCAAGUCGAGCGCGAAAGUUCUUCGGAAUGAGUAAAGCGGCGGACGGGUGAGUAAUACAUGGGAAUCUGCCUGGUAGUGGGGGACAACGUUUCGAAAGGAACGCUAAUACCGCAUACGCCCUACGGGGAAAGGGGGGAUCGCAAGACCUCUCGCUAUCAGAUGAGCCCAUGU
Molecule: ribosomal RNA, 200 nt
Filed under: uncultured bacterium
Lineage: Bacteria
Description: partial 16S ribosomal RNA
Rfam family: Bacterial small subunit ribosomal RNA
Source: RNAcentral